This 476-nucleotide ribosomal RNA is filed under the name uncultured bacterium. RNAcentral describes it as "bacterial SSU rRNA". It matches the Rfam family "Bacterial small subunit ribosomal RNA", at positions 28 to 507 of the family's 1533-position model. The record is from RNAcentral.
GACGAACGCUGGCGGCGUGCCUAAUACAUGCAAGUCGAGCGGGGAUUAUGCUUGAUCGCUUCGGUGAGACGGCAUAUAUCCUAGCGGCGGACGGGUGAGUAACGCGUGGGUAAUCUACCUCGUAGUUCGGGAUAACAGGCCGAAAGGCUUGCUAAUACCGGAUGAGUUCAUGCUUAUGCAUAUAGGCAUGAAGAAAGGGCUAGCCCGCUAUGAGAUGAGCCCGCGUCCCAUUAGCUUGUUGGUGGGGUAAUGGCCUACCAAGGCAACGAUGGGUAGCCGGCCUGAGAGGGUGUACGGCCACACUGGGACUGAGACACGGCCCAGACUCCUACGGGGGGCAGCAGUAGGGAAUUUUCGGCAAUGGGCGAAAGCCUGACCGAGCGACGCCGCGUGAGGGACGAAGGCCUUCGGGUUGUAAACCUCUGUCUGGGGGAUGAGAACGGACGGUACCCCGGAGGAAGCCCGGCUACUACGUG